Molecule: ribosomal RNA, 941 nt
Filed under: uncultured fungus
Lineage: Eukaryota; Fungi
Description: eukaryotic LSU rRNA
Rfam family: Eukaryotic large subunit ribosomal RNA (bases 509-941)
Source: RNAcentral
UCCGUAGGUGAACCUGCGGAAGGAUCAUUAACACAACAUAAUGAAAAACACCUAAACCAUUAGUGCUUGAGGGAUAGAUUAAUUAAUUUUUUUCUCUUUCUCAUUCAUUAAACUAAACUUUUUUACAAAUUUUUGUAUUUACAAAAAAUUUUAAAAAUUAAAAAUCAAUUUAAAAAUUUUCAACGGUGGAUAUCUUGGUUCCCAUAUCGAUGAAGAACGCAGCCAAAUGCGAUACGCAAUGCGAAUUGCAGAAUUCCGCGAGUCAUCAGAUCUUUGAACGCAAGUGGCGCUGGGUUAAACAAUACCCCAGCAUGUUUGUUUCAGUGUGUUAGGAAUCAUAAAUCUUAAUGCGUUUGAAAAGCCUUGGUUUUUCUCACGUUAAACAUGAAAGCGCUGAAUCGUUCAGUGCCGACCGAAGUAGUCACUUCUUAGCAAGUGAUCUCGGUUGUGCAUAACUGGAGAUUCACUUAAAGCGUCUUUUUUUAAAAUAAAUUAAUUUCUCCAUUCAACACCUGAAAUCAAGCAAGAUCACCCGCUGAACUUAAGCAUAUCAGUAAGCGGAGGAAAAGAAACUAACAAGGAUUCCCCUAGUAACUGCGAGUGAAGCGGGAUGAGCUCAAAUUUUAAAUCUGGCGGCUCCGUCGCCCGAGUUGUAAACUGGAGAAGCGUUUUCCGUGCCGGACCGUGUACAAGUGCCUUGGAACAGGACGUCAUAGAGGGUGAGAAUCCCGUCUUUGACACGGACCCCCGGUGCUCUGCGAUGCGCUCUCGAAGAGUCGAGUUGUUUGGGAAUGCAGCUCAAAAUGGGUGGUAAAUUCCAUCUAAAGCUAAAUAUUGGCGAGAGACCGAUAGCGAACAAGUACCGUGAGGGAAAGAUGAAAAGCACUUUGGAAAGAGAGUAAAACAGUACGUGAAAUUGUUGAAAGGGAAACGCUUGAAGU